CAGAGGGGGACUGAGACACGGCCCCCACUCCUACGGGAGGCAGCAGCUAAGAAUAUUGCACAAUGGACGAAAGUCUGAUGCAGCGACACCGCGUGAGGGAUGAAGGUUUUAGGAUUGUAAACCUCUUUUAUUAGGGAAUAGCAAGGAAGGUACCUAAUGAAUAAGCUACGGCUAACUACGUGCCAGCAGCCGCGGUAAUACGUAGGUAGCGAACGUUGUCCGGAAUCACUGGGCGUAAAGGGUCCGUAGGCGGUUUGAUAAGUCUCAUAUGAAAACUUCAAGCUCAACUUGGAGAGGUUGUGAGAUACUGUCAAACUAGAGACUGUUAGAGGUAAGUGGAAUUCCAGGUGUAGUGGUGAAAUGCGUAGAUAUCUGGAGGAACACCAGUGGCGAAAGCGACUUACUGGGACAGUUCUGACGCUAAGGGACGAAAGCGUGGGGAGCGAACCGGAUUAGAUACCCGGGUAGUCCACGCCGUAAACGAUGAUUGCUAGGUUUUCGGGGCAUCGACCCCUCGUGAGCCGAAGUUAACGCGUUAAGCAAUCCGCCUGAGUAGUACGGCCGCAAGGCUAAAACUCAAAGAAAUUGACGGGGGACCGCACAAGCAGCGGAGCGUGUGGUUUAAUUCGAUGGUAAGCGAAGAACCUUACCAGGGUUUGACAUGUAAGUAGUACUGAACCGAAAGGGGAUGGACCCGCAAGGGAGCUUACACAGGUGUUGCAUGGUUGUCGUCAGCUCGUGCCGUGAGGUGUUGGGUUAAGUCCCGCAACGAGCGCAACCCUCUUUGUUAGUUGCACUCUCUAACGAUACUGCCCUUAAAAGGGAGGAAGGUGGGGAUGACGUCAAAUCAUCAUGGCUCUUACACCCUGGGCUACACACACGCUACAAUGGCAAGUACAGACGGUUGCCAACCCGCGAGGGGGAGCUAAUCCGAUAAAACUUGUCUCAGUUGGGAUUAUAGGCUGAAAUUCGCCUAUAUGAACGUGGAGUUGCUAGUAAACGCAGGUCAGCACACUGCGUUGAAUACGUUCCCGGUCCUUGU
Molecule: ribosomal RNA, 1042 nt
Filed under: marine metagenome
Description: bacterial SSU rRNA
Rfam family: Bacterial small subunit ribosomal RNA
Source: RNAcentral